CCGCGGCCCCGCCCCCGCGCGGGUACCUCCCCCUUCCCCGGCUGGGGCGGCUGAAGAGCCGGGAGUCGCUGGGUGCGUGGGGCUGCCUCGCCGCGCCUCGCCACGGGCUCUGCCAGCAGACAGCCUUGGCACACAGGCACAAGGGCUGGAGCCCAGAGAUGAGAGUGCCCAAGGGAGAUGUGAGCCUGGCGGGCUGCCCGCUAACCUGUCGCUGAAGCCCCAGAAGCGGGCCCUCAGGCCAGGCCUACCCCGCCUCCGGCCCAGCAUGCGCCUGUCGGUGCGGAGGGUGCUGCUGGCAGCCGGCUGCGCCCUGGUCCUGGUGCUGGCGGUUCAGCUGGGACAGCAGGUGCUAGAGUGCCGGGCGGUGCUGGCGGGCCUGCGGAGCCACCGGGGGGCCAUGCGGCCGGAGCAGGAGGAGCUGGUGAUGGUGGGCACCAACCACGUGGAAUACCGCUACGGCAAGGCCAUGCCGCUCAUCUUCGUGGGUGGCGUGCCUCGCAGUGGCACCACGUUGAUGCGCGCCAUGCUGGAUGCCCACCCCGAGGUGCGCUGCGGCGAGGAGACCCGCAUCAUCCCGCGCGUGCUGGCCAUGCGCCAGGCCUGGUCCAAGUCUGGCCGUGAGAAGCUGCGGCUGGACGAGGCGGGGGUGACGGAUGAAGUGCUGGACGCCGCCAUGCAGGCCUUCAUCCUGGAGGUGAUUGCCAAGCACGGAGAGCCGGCCCGCGUGCUCUGCAACAAGGACCCAUUUACGCUCAAGUCCUCGGUGUACCUGUCGCGCCUGUUCCCCAACUCCAAGUUCCUGCUGAUGGUGCGGGACGGCCGGGCCUCCGUGCACUCCAUGAUCACGCGCAAAGUCACCAUCGCGGGCUUUGACCUCAGCAGCUACCGUGACUGCCUCACCAAGUGGAACAAGGCCAUCGAGGUGAUGUACGCCCAGUGCAUGGAGGUGGGCAAGGAGAAGUGCCUGCCUGUGUACUACGAGCAGCUGGUGCUGCACCCCAGGCGCUCACUCAAGCUCAUCCUCGACUUCCUCGGCAUCGCCUGGAGCGACGCUGUCCUCCACCACGAAGACCUCAUUGGCAAGCCCGGUGGUGUCUCCCUGUCCAAGAUCGAGCGGUCCACGGACCAGGUCAUCAAGCCUGUUAACCUGGAAGCACUCUCCAAGUGGAUUGGCCACAUCCCUGGGGAUGUGGUGCGGGACAUGGCCCAGAUCGCCCCCAUGCUGGCUCAGCUCGGCUAUGACCCUUAUGCAAACCCCCCCAACUAUGGCAACCCUGACCCCUUCGUCAUCAACAACACACAGCGGGUCUUGAAAGGGGACUAUAAAACACCAGCCAAUCUGAAAGGAUAUUUUCAGGUGAACCAGAACAGCACCUCCUCCCACUUAGGAAGCUCGUGAUUUCCAGAAGAGAAAACCAAAGCACAGAGAAGGAAGGGCUUUGACUUGCCCAAGGCUACACAGCCACCAAGGGACAGAAUUCCUCCCAGAUCUCCGCAAAUGACUUCAUUGCCAAGAAGAGAAGAAACUGCAUUUAAUUGGAAAUCGGACCUCUAAUCCAAGCAUAUUGCUUGCUAUUAAUCGCCAAAACAGGACUGCUGAUGAGGAAUGUAUUUGCAUAUGUUUGCAAAAGCUGAAUCAUUGAAAACGUACCUUGAAACUCUCUAUCUCUGGACACUCCAGGGUAGAGAAUGAAGGGUAUGGAAGUAGUCCGGCUUUUGAAACUUAGGUAUUUUAUAUUUUUCCCCUCAAGAACUUUUUUUUAAGAGACAGAUUUGCCAUCCUCCUUAAUUUGCAGGACUGCCUUGGUGGCUUUGUUUGCUGGGACAAGGCCCACAACCUGUGCCUCUCCUAUUGACCCUUACUUUGAAUUCAAAGAAUCUAUUUAAGAGUUUAAUAUAUGAGGCUUUCUUUGAUUCCUCCUCAGUUCUACCUAGUUUCAGAGAGAAAAAAAAUACUCUUUGAAUAAAGUGAACAGAGGCUCA
RNA transcript from Gorilla gorilla gorilla (western lowland gorilla), 1983 nucleotides. It is a transcript of the gene named tyrosylprotein sulfotransferase 2, with no coding region annotated. The transcript is spliced from 8 exons. The record is from RefSeq and is a predicted model, not a curated record. Lineage: Eukaryota; Metazoa; Chordata; Mammalia; Primates; Hominidae.